UUUUGAUUCAGUUCGGCUCUGAAUUAAUCCCAUUUCAACCAGAAAUAUUGAUUGUUUAAUCUAAUCUGCCACUGUUACUUCACAUUUCUAAACUCUCAACUCUCUCCAGUCUUGCAUUGAAGUUGAGUGAAUAAGUUUCUGUUAACGCCAAUUUUAAUUAUAAUCUAUUUGGUAUCCAUAGAUUACUAUAUACAUAAUUUAUCUAAGAUCGAAAUUACUCUGGUGGAUAAAAUGGUGUGGAACAAAAUUCUUGUCACUUGGGUGAACUCAAUAUAAAUAUAAUCACUAAAAUACAAGAGCUCGAUAGUGAAUCUAAGUUUUUCAAAGACGUCAUCACUAAAAUGAGGUUACAGCCGCCAAUAAACUCAACCGCCGUUUGGAAAGAUCUUGCAGCCGAAGUCUGGCUGUGAAGUUGGAUUGCGCAUUUUGCCCGGGGAGCAUCAGGGCUGACAGACCAGGGUAGUUCUCCACAUGUAGCAGC
Molecule: long non-coding RNA, 481 nt
Organism: Nilaparvata lugens (brown planthopper)
Lineage: Eukaryota; Metazoa; Arthropoda; Insecta; Hemiptera; Delphacidae
Exons: 3
Source: RefSeq, a predicted model, not a curated record